RNAcentral lists this ribosomal RNA (468 nucleotides) under uncultured bacterium. RNAcentral describes it as "partial 16S ribosomal RNA". It matches the Rfam family "Bacterial small subunit ribosomal RNA", at positions 28 to 507 of the family's 1533-position model. The record is from RNAcentral.
GACGAACGCUGGCGGCGUGCUUAACACAUGCAAGUCGAACGGAAAGGCCCUGCUUUUGUGGGGUGCUCGAGUGGCGAACGGGUGAGUAACACGUGAGUAACCUGCCCUUGACUUUGGGAUAACUUCAGGAAACUGGGGCGAAUACCGGAUAGGAGCUCCUGCUGCAUGGUGGUGGUUGGAAAGUUUCGGCGGUUGGGGAUGGACUCGCGGCUUAUCAGCUUGUUGGUGGGGUAGUGGCUUACCAAGGCUUUGACGGGUAGCCCGCCUGAGAGGGUGACCGGCCACAUUGGGACUGAGAUACGGCCCAGACUCCUACGGGAGGGAGCAGUGGGGAAUAUUGAACAAUGGGCGGCAGCCUGAUGCAGCAACUCCGCGUGCGGGAUGACGGCCUUAGGGUUGUAAACCGCUUUCGCCUGUGACGAAGCGUGAGUGACGGUAAUGGGUAAAGAAGCACCGGCUAACUACGUG